Molecule: transfer RNA, 61 nt
Filed under: Ictidomys tridecemlineatus (thirteen-lined ground squirrel)
Lineage: Eukaryota; Metazoa; Chordata; Mammalia; Rodentia; Sciuridae
Description: Spermophilus tridecemlineatus (thirteen-lined ground squirrel) tRNA
Rfam family: tRNA
About the family: Transfer RNA (tRNA) molecules are approximately 80 nucleotides in length.
Source: Rfam by way of RNAcentral
UAUAGCUUAGUGGCGAAGCAUUUGCCUACCAGGUAUGAGGCCCUGGGUUCAAUUCCCAGUA